Molecule: ribosomal RNA, 404 nt
Filed under: uncultured bacterium
Lineage: Bacteria
Description: bacterial SSU rRNA
Rfam family: Bacterial small subunit ribosomal RNA
Source: RNAcentral
UGAGGAAUAUUGCCCAAUGGGGGAAACCCUGAGGCAGCAACGCCGCGUGAACGAUGAAGGCCUUCGGGUCGUAAAGUUCUUUUCUGAGGGAAGAUAAUGACGGUACCUCAGGAAUAAGUCCCGGCUAACUACGUGCCAGCAGCCGCGGUAAAACGUAGGGGACAAGCGUUAUCCGGAUUUACUGGGCGUAAAGCGCCCGUAGGCGGUUUUCUAAGUUGGACGUGAAAGCUCCCGGCUUAACUGGGAGAGGCCGUUCAAAACUGGAAAACUUGAGUCUGGAAGAGGAGAGCGGAAUUCCCGGUGUAGUGGUGGAAUGCGUAGAUAUCGGGAGGAACACCAGUGGCGAAAGCGGCUCUCUGGUCCAGAACUGACGCUGAGGGGCGAAAGCGUGGGGAGCGAACGGG